This 208-nucleotide long non-coding RNA is filed under the name Phoenix dactylifera (date palm). Its description in RNAcentral is "long non-coding RNA (PDAC_LNC008965)". Lineage: Eukaryota; Viridiplantae; Streptophyta; Magnoliopsida; Arecales; Arecaceae. The record is from RNAcentral.
CGGCUGAUGACGAUCUAUGCUCAUAAGGGGAACAGAACUAAGAGGCGCAUGCUUGACCCCUUCCUCGGAAUGGGCAAGGUAAGCUUCUAAAGGGUCCUUAUUAUAAGUUUGUAAGAAAGUCUCCUGAACCAGACUUUCAAUCAUGUCAACUUCAUUGAUUUCUUUGUCGUCUGGUGGUUGUUUACUUAUGUUGAAGACAUUAAACUCG